RNAcentral lists this ribosomal RNA (301 nucleotides) under uncultured bacterium. RNAcentral's name for it is "partial 16S ribosomal RNA". It matches the Rfam family "Bacterial small subunit ribosomal RNA", at positions 509 to 807 of the family's 1533-position model. The record is from RNAcentral.
CAGUAGCCGCGGUAAUACGAAGGGUGCAAGCGUUACUCGGAAUUACUGGGCGUAAAGCGUGUGUAGGUGGUUGUUUAAGUCUGUCGUGAAAGCCCUGGGCUCAACCUGGGAAUUGCGAUGGAUACUGGGCGACUAGAGUGCGGUAGAGGAUAGUGGAAUUUCCGGUGUAGCAGUGAAAUGCGUAGAGAUCGGAAGGAACAUCUGUGGCGAAGGCGACUAUCUGGGCCAACACUGACACUGAGACACGAAAGCGUGGGGAGCAAACAGGAUUAGAUACCCCUGUAGUCCCUGUCUCUUAUAC